UUGAAGAGUUUGAUCAUGGCUCAGAUUGAACGCUGGCGGCAGGCCUAACACAUGCAAGUCGAACGGUAACAGGAAGCAGCUUGCUGCUUUGCUGACGAGUGGCGGACGGGUGAGUAAUGUCUGGGAAACUGCCCGAUGGAGGGGGAUAACUACUGGAAACGGUAGCUAAUACCGCAUAACGUCGCAAGACCAAAGAGGGGGACCUUAGGGCCUCUUGCCAUCGGAUGUGCCCAGAUGGGAUUAGCUAGUAGGUGGGGUAACGGCUCACCUAGGCGACGAUCCCUAGCUGGUCUGAGAGGAUGACCAGCCACACUGGAACUGAGACACGGUCCAGACUCCUACGGGAGGCAGCAGUGGGGAAUAUUGCACAAUGGGCGCAAGCCUGAUGCAGCCAUGCCGCGUGUAUGAAGAAGGCCUUCGGGUUGUAAAGUACUUUCAGCGGGGAGGAAGGGAGUAAAGUUAAUACCUUUGCUCAUUGACGUUACCCGCAGAAGAAGCACCGGCUAACUCCGUGCCAGCAGCCGCGGUAAUACGGAGGGUGCAAGCGUUAAUCGGAAUUACUGGGCGUAAAGCGCACGCAGGCGGUUUGUUAAGUCAGAUGUGAAAUCCCCGGGCUCAACCUGGGAACUGCAUCUGAUACUGGCAAGCUUGAGUCUCGUAGAGGGGGGUAGAAUUCCAGGUGUAGCGGUGAAAUGCGUAGAGAUCUGGAGGAAUACCGGUGGCGAAGGCGGCCCCCUGGACGAAGACUGACGCUCAGGUGCGAAAGCGUGGGGAGCAAACAGGAUUAGAUACCCUGGUAGUCCACGCCGUAAACGAUGUCGACUUGGAGGUUGUGCCCUUGAGGCGUGGCUUCCGGAGCUAACGCGUUAAGUCGACCGCCUGGGGAGUACGGCCGCAAGGUUAAAACUCAAAUGAAUUGACGGGGGCCCGCACAAGCGGUGGAGCAUGUGGUUUAAUUCGAUGCAACGCGAAGAACCUUACCUGGUCUUGACAUCCACGGAAGUUUUCAGAGAUGAGAAUGUGCCUUCGGGAACCGUGAGACAGGUGCUGCAUGGCUGUCGUCAGCUCGUGUUGUGAAAUGUUGGGUUAAGUCCCGCAACGAGCGCAACCCUUAUCCUUUGUUGCCAGCGGUCCGGCCGGGAACUCAAAGGAGACUGCCAGUGAUAAACUGGAGGAAGGUGGGGAUGACGUCAAGUCAUCAUGGCCCUUACGACCAGGGCUACACACGUGCUACAAUGGCGCAUACAAAGAGAAGCGACCUCGCGAGAGCAAGCGGACCUCAUAAAGUGCGUCGUAGUCCGGAUUGGAGUCUGCAACUCGACUCCAUGAAGUCGGAAUCGCUAGUAAUCGUGGAUCAGAAUGCCACGGUGAAUACGUUCCCGGGCCUUGUACACACCGCCCGUCACACCAUGGGAGUGGGUUGCAAAAGAAGUAGGUAGCUUAACCUUCGGGAGGGCGCUUACCACUUUGUGAUUCAUGACUGGGGUGAAGUCGUAACAAGGUAACCGUAGGGGAACCUGCGGUUGGAUCACCUCCUU
This 1538-nucleotide ribosomal RNA is filed under the name Escherichia coli. RNAcentral describes it as "bacterial SSU rRNA". It matches the Rfam family "Bacterial small subunit ribosomal RNA". Lineage: Bacteria; Pseudomonadati; Pseudomonadota; Gammaproteobacteria; Enterobacterales; Enterobacteriaceae. The record is from RNAcentral.